GUUUAUGAGGGUGUGCCCUCAGGAGGAUGGGAUAGAGAUAAAGUGUGAACUUACAAACCUGGCAGAGAGCAGGCACCUGGGAUGCAGUGGGCUGGUGGAAGAAAGAUGGCCUCAGUACUCCCAUCGAAGUAACAGUAUGUUCCAGGAUGCAGUUGGAAAUUAGGUUGGAAUGGAUGGGAUCUAACAGGAACAGCUCUUGGAAGGAUGGGCUAUCUCAUUAGUACCUUACAACUUCCAAUGCAUUGUCACAUAUUGGAGUUGGGACCAGGGUGAGGCAAAAGAGGCCUUUAAGAGUCAUGCAAGUACACUGGCCUCUGUCCUGCCACAUGCCUUAUCUCACGUAAUACCCAUCUGACCCUUGUCUGGCUAUUUAGUUGGUUUCGGGGUGGAGAGAGCAGGGGAGGUAAGGAGCAGAGAUGGGAGAGAGGACAAGCUGGCAGAGACUCUUUCUCUAUGAAAAGCCUUGCCUGAGUCACUCCUUCCCUCACACUUGCAUGUUACUCCAUCCAAACGAAACCAGCCCCUUUUGUGACUUCACAAAAUCUAUACUCACACUCCCUGUCACUGAACUCCAGGUCCAGAAAACUAUGCCCCCUGUGUUUGGCUUUAGGCCAAUGUCGUGAGAUAUUCCACACAGACAUGUGCUGUAUCUUCUUUUAAAUGUUGUGACUUUUGACCCCACAAAUCUAGAAUUUGUCAUCUUUCAAAAAGAGUUCUGUGAUUUCUUUUUUUUUUUUUUUUUUUUUUUGAGGCAAGAGUCAAACUUUUUUUCCUCCUUGAAUUCCUAAGUGCUUGCUGGUAAGAAGGAUGCAGUUUUAAAGAACCCCAGCUUCUCCAUUCCUCACACCUGUAUACUGAUGACUUGGAGACUAACAUCUUCCAUUGCUAGGCUUAGGAAUGAAGUUUUGCCUCUGAAGGGAGUUGUGCAUUUGUAACUGUCAUUCAACCAAUGGUGAAAGAGUCACUGGUCCAGGGCCAAUGUGCUCUGCUGCCUCCGGGAAAGCAUAAGACAUCAGUCUGUGGAAGAGGGCACUGGUGGUUUCCUUCCCUCCAAGAGGACAUAGUUCAGUUGGGUACAUACUGCAUUUCCCAGAUUUUGAAUACACACGUUUUAAGGCUUCCAAAAUCAGGUAUCUUUUGACAUGGUAAUUCCUUUUCCUCCCCCAAUUUUUAAUUUGGUAAAUAUGUACAAUUUAUAUGCUCUUAACAUUUUUAAAUUUGAAAAUCGAGAGCAAAAUCUUAUAGCCUAAACAACAGGAGUGGUAAGAAUUUGGUGGUGGUGAACAACCAGAAAAUCUGGAGUCCCAGCCAUGUCCACUGCUAGGACCCAGAGAAGCCUAGCCUGGACUGGCCCAGCUGCCGGGCUGAUGAGUGUGACCUCUGAGGUGAUAAAAUAACACCCAUGUGGGAGGAAUGGCCAAUAAGAAGGACAUGCCAGCCCCACCUUAGAAAAAGGCAUGAGUAGAAAUGAAGGUGCUAUAUCACUAAAAAUGAUGACAUUGGGCCCCAAGCAUCCGAUUUUCUCUGGCACCUGGCUAAGACAGGCAUAGAGGACAGGGCCGGUUGGGGUGUAGUCAGAGACACCCUCCCUAUUCUGUGGCAUUGCUUUGGCCUGUAGCAAAGUGUUAAAAUGGGACUCUUCCUACUUCAGUUUCAACUGAGUUCCCAAGACAAUCAAUGCCAGCUACUCCCACUUCCAAAAUGCGGAACACAAGAGCUCCUUGAAAAUGAUUUUGUGUACCUUCUCCAGCCACUGUCCACCUCAAGGAAAGUGCAUGGAUUGAUACAGAAGAGGACUCAAAGUUGGAGUUCUAGGAUUGAGUUGUCAACAUUGUGAUCAGUUUUCCUCCCCAUACCAUGGAGAGAGGACAUGCCUUGCUCCUGUCUCUUAAGUCCAGUGACUAGGGCUUACCUGAGACCACACACAGAGCUUGAUAUCUGUCCCUGGAGCUUGUGGAACACAGGAGACUGCCCACUGGUGAGCAGCUGGCUGAAGAGGCCUAUUGUAGAGGACAUUUCCAUUUGGAAGUCACUCCCUCUUGCCUAUAUCAUGGCAAGGGAGUGUGUGGCAGAUUGAGUUUCCUGGAAGAUGACUCUGAGGGGGAAGAUUAGCAUGAGGAAGGUUUAUUAGAGUGCUCUUGGGAUAGCACCCAGAGGAGGAAAGGAGAAGAAGCAGGAUCAGAGAGAAGUGGACCCCCACUGCCCGGAUCUGAAGCUGGGAUGGCCCUUCAGAGUUGUCCCAAGGCAGAGUCAAGGGGCCUUUCUACCCCUGCCAUAGAUUGGUCAUUGUUCCUGGCUGACCUUGGGGAAAGGCUGUGACCUUGAGCAACAGCAUCUGGGGGAAUGUGUCCUUCAUUCCUAAGGGGAGAUCUGGGCAGGGAUCACAGGGUCCAGUAUGGCAUAUGGCAUGCAGGUACCAGAUGUGGAAACUGCAAGAAGAAUAACCACCUAGGGCCAGGCACAGUGGCUCACAUCUGUAAUCCCAGCACUUUGGGAGGCUGAGGCAGGCAGAUAACUUGAGGUCAGGAGUUCGAGACCAGCCUGGCCAACAUGGUGAAACCCUGUUUCUACUAAAAAUACAAAAAUCAGCCAGACAUGGUGGUGGGUGCCUGUAAUCCCAGCUACUCAGGAGGCUGAAGCAGGAGAAUCACUUGAACCUGGGAGGCAGAGGUUGCAGUGAGCCGAGAUCACACCACUGCACUCCAGCCUGGGCAACAGAGACUCCACCUCAAAAAAAAAAAAAAAAAAAGAAUAACCACCUAGAAUUAAAGGAAAAAAAAAUUUAGAGAUGAGGGUCUUGCUAUGUUGCCCAGGCUGGAGUGCAGUGGCUAUUCACAGGUGUGAUCAUGGCACAUUGUAGCCUUGAACUCCUGGGCUCAAGAACUUCUCCUGCUUCAGCCUCCCAAGUAGCCACUGUGCCCAGCAAUUUUUAAGGGGACUCUGUCCACAUGGGCUUCUUCAAAAAGACCUUGGCAGAAAAAGGUGGAGGCCCAACUGGAGAUAGAGGCUGAAGGAGGACCAUAAGUGACCAGCUGAAGGAGAGGCCCCUUUGGACUCUUGAAGACUGCAGUCCCAGGGGACCAAGAGGGUUCCAUACAAGGUGACAAAGGUACCAAAGAGGGAAGCACCAGCCAUGGCCAGGGAAGGUCAAAGAGAUACUUCAUCCAUGCUAGAAACAAAGGAUGGAAGGAGGAUGGAAGGAGGGAGAAAAAGAAGGAGGGAGGAAGGAAGGGAAGGAUCAAGGGAAGGAGAGAAGGAAGGAAGGAAGGAAGGCAGACAGAGAGGCAUCUCCUACUCCUUGUUUUUUAUUCUCCCUCCUACUCUACAGGGGCCAAGGUGAGGCUAGUAAGGGGAUGGGGUAGAGGUGCUAAAUGGGAAAAUGUCUUGGCGUCCUCAAUGCCUAGCAGGGAACCUGGCAUAAAAUGGACACUCAAAAAAUAAUAUACGAAGAAUGAGGAAAAUCUUUGCCCCUUUAUGAUUCCCAGUGACUGUGUAAGGGCCUUCUAUAUCUGCAUCAUUCUGGGGACUGAAUGUGGGUCCUUCCAAAGUCAUGGUGUUAUAGAACAGUGAUACAGGGGUGAUGUCUAAAGCACACACUGAAGUAUCCCCAGACGCACCUGCACAUACACACAUGUACAUGCUCAUGUACCUACCUGGUGCCAAGCUCAGAAAUAGGGUUCUACACAAACCUCACUGGAAACUUUUCAUUUCUCUUCAGUGCAUACCUCAGUCUUUGCCCUUUGAAGAAAACCAGGGAUGCAAUGCUGAGAAUGUGACUGUAAAUACUUCAGAUUUUAAACUCCGAGGAUUUUCUCUUGGUCUCCUCAGAGGGUUGUAGUCUGUGGUGUAUGGAUCCUGGGGUUUCAAGGCCAUCUGGCCCCUGUGUGCUCAAUGAUCUACCCCAGUGGAAGGAAGACGAGAAACAGACAUUUCAAAACCUUUAGGCAAUGGGUCUUGGCCUGAGACAGAGUUUCACUUUGUCGCCCAGGCUGGAGUGCAGUGGCGCAAUCUCCACUCACUGCAACCUCCGCCUCCUGGGUUCAAGUGAUUCUUGUGCCUCAGCCUCUUGAGUAGCAGGGAUUACAGGCACGCACCACCAUACCUGGCUAACUUUUUGUAUUUUUAGUAGAGGCAGGGUUUCACCAUGUUGGCCAGGCUGGUCUCGAAAUCUUGGCCUCAAGUGAUCCACCCACCUCAGCCUCCCAAAGUGCUGGGAUUACAGAUGUGAGCCGCCGCACCCAGCCAGCAUGCCCUAUCUUAAUUGUUAAUUUUCUAUGAUAGCAGAUUAGCUCUCCUAAUUACUUCUAUCUUAGGCUAGAUUAAAAUGCAUCCUGAUCAGAUAGUAAUUUAUGGUGAAGAGAUGCCUUCUGGCCUAAAAACAUGCCAGGGGUAAAUCUCUAAGUAGAUGACCUCAAGGCAGAGAACCCAGAGUGCACUGUGUAUGAAAGAAUUACGGAGUGAAGUUCAUGUGCCCAAGGUUUUAAAGAAUAAUUAAGAGCCUAAUUAUAAGAGUACUGAAAAGAGCCAUACACAAUUCCAAGUUAGCUUUGCCUGUUAAGAGUAGAAAGCUCAUUUUAUAAGUAAUAAAACGAUGGUGUUUACACAAUGCAGCUUUCCAAUUUCCUUUUCAAAUUCCACUGUGCUUGAGGCACCAUCCCCUUUGACUGCAUGCAUUCUGAUCUUUGUUGAAUUAAUUUCAUCUAGUAAUUCUUCUACUCAUUGGCAUCUAUUGACUGUCCAGUCCAUAUGCAUGGAUGUGGUUGAAACUCAGCUGAGAAAGAUGAAUGACACACGGCUCUACCCUCUAAAGCUCACUCUCUCCUAUUGGAGACAGACUUCUAAACAAAAUACUACACCUCCAAAGAGAAAACCCCAUUUUUCUGGGAGCUCAGAAUGGGAAAUGACUCUGCCUGGGGAUGGAGGUGGGAGGGAGGAGAACUUAGGGAAGGCUUCUAGAAAAGGUGACAUUUUGGCUGCAGCUUGAGGGGUGACCAGGAGUUUGCUAGUUAGAACAGGGAAGGAAGAGCAUUCUGGGUUGAGAAUUGGGACAGAGUCUUCUCUGAUAAUUCGCAAAGCAAAUGUCAGGUCAUACAGGAGCAACUCAAAAGACCUUUUGCAGAGAUUUAGUUAUUAUUGCCCAUGCUAGACUAUCAACUGCUUCUGACUUUGUGCAGUACUUAGACCACCUAAGUUAGUGCCUGAUAGGGUAUUUUGAGGAUGACAGUAAUGCCUAUGCUAGAGAUGAGUGGGAUAUGACCCUCAUCUUUUAGUCAUGACAUUCCAGCUCUCCUACCUUGGGUUUGUUCCUAAUAAUUAAGUGGCCAUCACAGCAGUAGUGAGUAUUCUUCUGCAAACUCCAGGAGCAUCUGUGGAACCGAGUGCAGAUGCCUUUGACCUGUGCAGCAGUUGACUCAGGUUACCAGGCACCUUUUUCAAGUUCUUCCCAAGAAGAUGUAUCUUUCUUGUUCAGCCUAAUUUUUAUAAAACUUUAAUGUUCUCUUAAAACUGAAAUUUUGCACAGUAGGCAUUAGCAUCAGAGCAACAUUCCCAUGAGUUCUGGAAUCUCCUGGAGUACAUUACUCUAAGCAAAGAGCCAAUUAUUGCAGCCCUGAAGUUGGAGGGGACACUGAUUAGUAUCUGUGGCCUAGAAGUACAGAUGGAUGGCUGUGGAGGCCACAGCAUCUUGAGGAUUUUUUUUUUUUUGAAACGGAGUCUCAUUCUGUCGCCCAGGCUGGAGUAUAGUGGCGUGAUCUCUGCUCAACGCAGAGGAUGUUAAAUGGAGUCAAAAGCAAAUCAGACUCCCUCAUGGCCCAACUCAGGAGUUAUUCUUAGGCAUAGGGAACAUUAGAGAGACCUCUAGAGUUGGGAAGAGUGGGCCUAGUGGGGAGUCCUUGGGCCCUGCAAGUUUCCACUCAAUUUCUCACCCUGGGCACUGCCUCCACCUGUUCUCUGUACCUAUUCCUUCUCUUCUAUUUCUCCUCUACAAUUCUUCUUUUAUUUCCCCAUUCCUCUUUCUCGUAAAUAUAUCUUUUUUUUCCCAGAAGUUUCUACUGAGUUUGAAGGUUUCAAUGACCAUGUUGAUUACAGAGAUAGGAAGGCUAUUUCCAUCACUGUCUUUGGAUGAGAGACAGCAGAGGCUCCUCUCUGCAGGCCUGGCCAGACUGCUUAUGAGGAGCUGGAGGGAAAGAUGAACGGCUUUAAGUCACUCAGGCCAGUACCCAAGAACCCAACACUGUGCUGGGCCUUGGGGUGGUUCUGGGGUAGCGUGAGGGUAAGGAAUGCUAGAGAGGUAUGGCAGAGAGAACCCGAGAGAAGGCGUUAGGACAUGCAAUGAGGUCCCAUUUCCCACUGAUUCCUAACUUUAUUUUUCUGCCAAAUUAAAGGAAACAUAUCUUCCUCAUAUGGUGGAGAAGUAACUGAGACAUAAGAUAAGAAAAGUCUAAAGCCCAAUAUAAAUAUAAGGGUUUGAACUCAUCUGACCUGGGUCUGUGUGGGCUAAGCUGCUCCAAGCUGGGCUAGACAUGGGAUAGGAAGCAGUUUAACUUGCCCUUUUCUCCUGUGGGCCUAGAAGUCCCUGGAUUAGAUGAUGCUGUGGAGCCCACUGUGGGAGAAGGGGAGGGGAGAAGAGCAUGGCUUGAAGUCUGAAUCCUGGAGCCCAGGUUCAGGUCUCCAUCAACCUGAACAACAUCUCUGAGUCCCCACUUCCUCAUCUGCAAGAUGAGAAUUCUAAUUCCACCUCACACACUUAGGGAUAGAAUCAAAUGCAAUACUAAGCCCAAAGUCACUGUAUAAAGUACAAUACAAAUGUGGUUAUUAAUAUCCUAUCAUUAAUAUCUUGGUGUUUCUUAUAGCAUAAUGGAUUUCCAAAGGGAGAGCAUUAGCAAGAUAAAAUAGCCUCAGAAGGAACCAAAGAAACUAAAUUUUGUACACUAAGGUAGUAUAAAUUCAGUACAUUUUAAAGCUUAGUUUCUAUUUAAGAUCAUUUAAAAAUCAGUUUCUAUUAAAAUUCAGAAGCAUUUCUAAGUGCUGGGAAAGACUCUCUCCCUGCUCUUUGCCAUUGCUAAAUUAGCCUGCCUCUGGAGGAGAAGGCCCUUUUCCCUUCCUGCCCCACUAGUGCAGGACUCUUUGGGUGAACUCCCUCCCCUUGCCCCUGAGCAGUUGGGUGGGAGUGUGGUAAGCCUCUGGUUAUACUUUAAAAAUAGUGUUGAGAGAGAGGCAGGCAGGCAGGGAGGCUCACCGGACAGGAAGGACAGGUUUUCCUGCCUUCCCUCCCCACCUGCCCCACACCCAGUCACUUUGUCACCCCAGGGGAGCUGUCAGCCCAGCCCCACAAAUUAGAGGGUGCUGCAUGGCCCUGGCCCCACACAGUGUUUCCAUGAGAACCUCUCCUUCCCCUGAUUUUCCCUUUUCUCCUGGGGCCUCCUCGCACGUAGAAAGAAACCCCUGCUCCUAGCCCUGUUCCUGUAUCUAGACCCUGGCAGCCUCAGUCACUCAUCCAGACAUUAGCUAGGAGCUGGCAGUGCCGAGAAUGGCUCUGGAGGGGAGGACAGGGGGCCAGGGUUGGCACCUGGGCCACUCGGGCAAGCCUGAGAUGUGGGUGCAGGCUUUGCUUGGUGCUCCCAGUGGCCCUGGCCUGGCCUCUCCUAGGAUCCAGAGGGAUCCUGGACCCUGGAAGGGUCCCAGGCCCCAGGAAGGGAAACAGUCAGACCUCUGGCUUCCCCGUGGUGGCAUCUGAACCCAUGGCAUUGCCCUCUUCCAGACAUGCCUUGGAUCCCUUGACUCUGCCUCACCCUUAACCCCUGGUCAGCUCCUUCCCAGUGGCCAGCACUACCCCUCCACUGGGCGCAGACAUGGCUGCAUCUUGCUCGAAAAUUAUUCAUAGGGAUGCAUACCUCCUGCCUGUCCUGCCAGACCCCCCACAGACCUCAAUUAAUGCAGCCCAGCUGAUUGAGCAUUUGUCUUCUGAUGGAUUGAAUGACAAACCAGCCCUAUGAGGUCUCAGCUUGUCCUCCAUCAUCUCUGGCCUGAGGAGUUACCAGGGUUUUGGGAGCUCUGGGCUUCAUGGAAAGAGAAAAAAAAGGUACAGUAAAUGCUCUGGGACUGUCCAAGCCUGAGGACCGGAGAGCACGGCGUCUCGGAAUCAGACUGACGUGGUCGGCCUCCCAGCUCUGUAAUUCAUCCUAUAGCCUUGGACAAAUCCAUUAACUUUUCUUGAUAUAAAUUUCCUUAUCUGGGGCCGGGCACGGGGGCUCACGCCUGUAAUCCCAGCACUUUGGGAGGCUGAGGCAGGCGGAUCAUGAGGUAGGGAGAUCAAGGCCAUCCUGGCUAACGUGGUGAAACCCCGUCUCUACCAAAAAUACAAAAAAAUUAGCCGGGCGUGGUGGUGGGCGCCUGUAGUCCCAGCUACUCCAGGAGGCUGAGGCAGGAGAAUGGCGUGAACCCAGGAGGCGGAGCUUGCAGUGAGCUGAGAUCGCGCCACUAUACUCCAGCCUGGGCGACAGAGUGAGACUCCAUCUCAAAAAAAAAAAAAAAAAAAAAAAAUUCCUUAUCUGUAAAAUGGGGAUGAAGUUACCCACUUCAGAGGGUGCUGUAAGGAUUAAAUGAUCUCCAAGGCCUCUACAGUGUUCAGACACACAAAUCACCUACAGCACCACUCAAAGUGUAUGUGCAGAUGGGGUCUGGCUUCUUGCAUUUUGUUGUUGUUGUUUAGUUGAUUGUUUUCUGCAUUGUGCAUGUGUGUGGUUAAACAAAAUGCCCUAUCACUGAGAUCUGGCCUGCAGGGCCAGGGCUGGACACAGAUAACACUGCUGGAGGAACACUAAAACCUUUCUUGAUGUGCCACAGGCUUUUAUUUCUCUUAUUUCUCACUAAGGACAGGAAAGCUUUCAUCAGCAACAUCAACAACAACACAACAAACACGUGGACACCUCCCCAGGGGUUUCUGUUGAUCCUGAAUCCUCCCACCCACCCACCCCCACCAAUUGCCUUAGAGAUGUGGGGCCACCAGGCUUGAAGCUCAUCUGACUUCCAGAGGUUGAGGAGUGAGAAUUCCUUGCACCAGGGGCUGCCUCAGCAGUGAAGCCACGGGAAAUAAUCUUCACUCUGUCAGUGGGGCUGCUGGUGACCAGCAACAUCCACUUAAAAGCUGUCGAUCAGGGCCUCUGAGCAUUCCUGGCCUGGGAAUGGAGGGGAAGAAUCUGGCUAGCUCUAGGGUUACACAGCUGAGUCUGGCCUCAUUAACCAAAUUAGCUAACCAGCCGCUGUGCAAGCGACGUCUCAGAAGCCCCAAUGUUCAUGGAGGAAAUUAACUCAAAUUAUUAUUAUACACACCCCACAUAAUCAAUUGCAUUUAAGCAGGUGUCCAUAUACAAAGGAGGAGGGAAAUCACCACAGACUUAGCUUUUGUAUAGCCCUUUGUUCUUUAAAAGUAACUUUUUAAACAGUCUAUCACUGAUUCCUACCUCGUUUCUCUGACAUCAACAACACAGAUGUUACUAUCAGCAUUUAGUUAGAGACUAAGUGGCGUAUCCAAGAUCACACAGCAUAUUGAGGGAUCCAGGGCUCCUCUCUCUUAGUCCAUUUUUCUUUUUUGUUUGGUUUUCUCUUCUCUCAUAGGCUAUUUUGUACACAUCAGCCAGAGUCAUCUUUUAAACCUCAAAUGAGACCAUGUCACUCCUGGCUCACACUCUCUGUGGCUUCCCAAUAGAGAGAGCACAGUCCAGGUGGCUCACCUUCUUUAAGCUGCUUUCCUCCCCAUCUCUCACACCAGGCUGCCAUCAUGCUUCUCCCCCACUGACUCUCCACAGCCUGGCUCCUUCUCAAUCCAGGGCUUCCUUGUCCUCCAAAUCACUCUGUCCCACUGCCUGCUUUUUGCUCUCUGGAAUCAUCUCAUUUAUCUGUUUACGUGUUUGUUUCCUGCCUCCCAUCAGCAGAUCAUCAAUUCCAUGGCGUCAGGGACUUUGUUUUGUUGAUGCUGCAUCCCCAGUACCUAGAUUAGUACCUGGCACUUAGAGGGUAAUUAAUGAAGAGCUUUUUGAAUGAAUGGAUAUUGCACUGUAUUGAUAAAAGAAAGAGAGAAAAGUCCUGGGAGAGAGUGAAGGAAAAGAAGUUAUUAAUGAUGGGAAACAAUAUGCCCAAUAUGAGUGAAUAGCUGCUAUGAGAGAUUGCACAAGCUCUGCUGGGUCACCCCGUCCCCACUGAUCUAAGACUCCUGAGCCCUAGGCUCACUCCCCACCUCCAAUCUGACCAACAAGCCAAAGCCAGCAGUAACUCCAGAGCGGACUUUGACUCUAAAUGUGGCCUUAACCCUAGGCCUGACUGUGUAAACAACACCUUCUUCUAACUUUAAUCCUGUCCCUAAUAACCACCUUAACUUGGCACUCUAAUCUCAAUGACAAACCCAAAUCCAUAAGCACAGUCCCCUCUACUCGAUGGACCAAUUCUAGAUAUAAGAUCCAGCAGGUCAGACUGUCAUCCCAGUCCUGCCACACUGAACCUUAACUAGAUCUGCAUCAGUUUCCCUGAGUGGAAACUGAUGGGGGAGGUAUGGACUAAAAUUGGAGACACUGAAAGCUAGAAAAGACCUUAGAGAUCAUCUAAUUUCUUCCCUUUGGGGAUAAUAUACAAUGAAUACAUGCCAUCAUGUAUUUUCUAUGUGUCCCGUUGGUUCUUUCUUUCCUUUUUCUUGCCAUAUUUUGGAUCAAUCAAGUAUUAGUAUUCCAUUUUGCCUCCUCCAUUUGCAUUUUAGCUAAAUCUCUUUGUUUAACUUUUGUGUUUAUUUUAGGGGUUAUAAUAGGUAUCUUAAACUUUUCAUAGUCUACAUUGAAAUCACAUGAAAGAAUUUAAACCAGUGUCAUUCCCUUUUAUAACCCCCAUCUUUUGUUCUACUGUUAUCGUAUACCUAAGUACUGUGUAUGUCAUAAGCCCCACUAUUAUUGUUGUUGUUGUUAUUGCUUUAGAUAAUUAUGUCUUAAAGACAUUAAGAAUUGAAUAGAGUAUGUUUUUUAAAGUUACCGCUGUAUUUAAUAAUUUCUGAUGCUCUUCAUUCAUUUCUGUAGGUCAUGUUUCUGUUUUAUUUGCCUUCAACCUGCAGAACUUCGCAAUUCUCUUCCCCCUCCAGGGACACUGCAGCUUUUCUACCCUUCCAUUGCGGCUUCCAUACAGCCUCCAAAACCUGCAAGUUUCCAACCAUUUCCCACAGUGCAGUUAAAUCCCAAGAUAAAUUUUUAGGCAUUUCCAAACUCCCUAAGGACAGGCCCAGGUGGAGCCAUGAAAGAGAAGAGAGGGCAGGUAACCAGGAGCCUCUCCUCUUCCUCCUUCCUACGUCACCUUCCCUAUACUCCCCAAAGGGGACCUCUCUGACACUGCAAUGCAAGAUUAAACUACUGGAUGAUGAUGAUGAUGAUGAUGAUGAUUUACCUCCUUUCCUUCCUGGGCCAGGGAGGAGAGCAUCAAGCUCUUUGCAGCAGCAGUCUGAUCCCCUUCAGUUAUCCUCAGGUAUUUACUAAGCCCCCUCCUCAGUGCAGCCCCUCUACUAGGGGAAGAGAAAGGCAGAAGUGGA
RNAcentral lists this long non-coding RNA (11560 nucleotides) under Homo sapiens (human). Its description in RNAcentral is "non-protein coding lnc-ATP6V1E2-2:2". Lineage: Eukaryota; Metazoa; Chordata; Mammalia; Primates; Hominidae. The record is from RNAcentral.